GGAGGAGUGGCCGAGUGGUCAAUGGCAACGGACUGUAAAUCCGUCCUCUUACGAGUUCGCAGGUUCAAAUCCUGCCUCCUCCACCA
This 86-nucleotide transfer RNA is filed under the name Pseudomonadota bacterium. Its description in RNAcentral is "tRNA-Tyr". It matches the Rfam family "tRNA". From Rfam's summary of the family: Transfer RNA (tRNA) molecules are approximately 80 nucleotides in length. Their secondary structure includes four short double-helical elements and three loops (D, anti-codon, and T loops). The record is from RNAcentral. Lineage: Bacteria; Pseudomonadati; Pseudomonadota.